RNAcentral lists this ribosomal RNA (427 nucleotides) under uncultured bacterium. RNAcentral's name for it is "partial 16S ribosomal RNA". It matches the Rfam family "Bacterial small subunit ribosomal RNA", at positions 355 to 774 of the family's 1533-position model. The record is from RNAcentral.
CGGGGAAUAUUGCACAAUGGGCGCAAGCCUGAUGCAGCCAUGCCGCGUGUAUGAGGAAGGCCUUCGGGUUGUAAAGUACUUUCAGCGAGGAGGAAGGUGUUGUGGUUAAUAACCGCAGCAAUUGACGUUACUCGCAGAAGAAGCACCGGCUAACUCCGUGCCAGCAGCCGCGGUAAUACGGAGGGUGCAAGCGUUAAUCGGAAUUACUGGGCGUAAAGCGCACGCAGGCGGUCUGUCAAGUCGGAUGUGAAAUCCCCGGGCUCAACCUGGGAACUGCAUCCGAAACUGGCAGGCUAGAGUCUUGUAGAGGGGGGUAGAAUUCCAGGUGUAGCGGUGAAAUGCGUAGAGAUCUGGAGGAAUACCGGUGGCGAAGGCGGCCCCCUGGACAAAGACUGACGCUCAGGUGCGAAAGCGUGGGGAGCAAACA